CGGGUGAGUAACACGUGAGCAACCUGCCCCUGACUCUGGGAUAAGCGCUGGAAACGGCGUCUAAUACUGGAUAUGUCCCGUCACCGCAUGGUGUGCGGGUGGAAAGAUUUUUCGGUUGGGGAUGGGCUCGCGGCCUAUCAGCUUGUUGGUGAGGUAAUGGCUCACCAAGGCGUCGACGGGUAGCCGGCCUGAGAGGGUGACCGGCCACACUGGGACUGAGACACGGCCCAGACUCCUACGGGAGGCAGCAGUGGGGAAUAUUGCACAAUGGGCGGAAGCCUGAUGCAGCAACGCCGCGUGAGGGAUGACGGCCUUCGGGUUGUAAACCUCUUUUAGCAGGGAAGAAUCGAGAGUGACGGUACCUGCAGAAAAAGCACCGGCU
Molecule: ribosomal RNA, 382 nt
Filed under: Microbacterium sp. DJC-2-2
Lineage: Bacteria; Bacillati; Actinomycetota; Actinomycetes; Micrococcales; Microbacteriaceae
Description: bacterial SSU rRNA
Rfam family: Bacterial small subunit ribosomal RNA
Source: RNAcentral